GUUGUAUGGUUAAGUGACUAAGCGUACACGGUGGAUGCCUUGGCAGUCAGAGGCGAUGAAAGACGUAGUAACUUGCGAUAAGCCCAGAUUAGGUAGUAACAACCAUUUGAGUCUGGGAUUUCUGAAUGGGGAAACCCACGUGCAUAAGCACGUAUCCUUACCUGAAUACAUAGGGUAAGGAGGCGAACCGGGGGAACUGAAACAUCUAAGUACCCCGAGGAAAAGAAAUCAACCGAGAUUCCGAAAGUAGCGGCGAGCGAAAUUGGACUAGCCCUUAAGCUUUACACGCGUUAGACGAACGGUCUGGAAAGUCCGACGAUACAGGGUGAUAGUCCCGUAGUUGACGACGUGUGUUCAGUGAAAUCGAGUAGGGCGGGACACGUGAUAUCCUGUCUGAAUAUGGGGGGACCAUCCUCCAAGGCUAAAUACUACUGACUGACCGAUAGUGAACCAGUACCGUGAGGGAAAGGCGAAAAGAACCCCUGUGAGGGGAGUGAAAUAGAACCUGAAACCGUGUACGUACAAGCAGUAGGAGCACCUUCGUGGUGUGACUGCGUACCUUUUGUAUAAUGGGUCAGCGACUUAUAUUCAGUGGCAAGGUUAACCAUCUAGGGGAGCCGUAGGGAAACCGAGUCUUAACUGGGCGUUCAGUCUCUGGAUAUAGACCCGAAACCAGGUGAUCUAGCCAUGGGCAGGUUGAAGGUUGAGUAACAUCAACUGGAGGACCGAACCGACUAAUGUUGAAAAAUUAGCGGAUGACUUGUGGCUAGGGGUGAAAGGCCAAUCAAACCUGGAGAUAGCUGGUUCUCCCCGAAAGCUAUUUAGGUAGCGCCUCGGACGAAUACUACUGGGGGUAGAGCACUGUUAAGGCUAGGGGGUCAUCCCGACUUACCAACCCUUUGCAAACUCCGAAUACCAGUAAGUACUAUCCGGGAGACACACGGCGGGUGCUAACGUCCGUCGUGGAGAGGGAAACAACCCAGACCGCCAGCUAAGGUCCCAAAUUACUACUAAGUGGGAAACGAUGUGGGAAGGCUCAGACAGCCAGGAUGUUGGCUUAGAAGCAGCCAUCAUUUAAAGAAAGCGUAAUAGCUCACUGGUCGAGUCGGCCUGCGCGGAAGAUGUAACGGGGCUAAGUAGUAAACCGAAGCUGCGGCAAUGUGCUUUUGCACAUUGGGUAGGGGAGCGUUCUGUAAGCGGUUGAAGGUGUGUGGUAACGCAUGCUGGACGUAUCAGAAGUGCGAAUGCUGACAUGAGUAACGAUAAAGGGGGUGAAAAACCUCCUCGCCGGAAGACCAAGGGUUCCUGUCCAACGUUAAUCGGGGCAGGGUAAGUCGACCCCUAAGGCGAGGCCGAAAGGCGUAGUCGAUGGGAAACGGGUUAAUAUUCCCGUACUUCUUACAAUUGCGAUGGGGGGACGGAGAAGGCUAGGUGGGCCUGGCGACGGUUGUCCAGGUUCAAGUGCGUAGGCUUAAGAGUUAGGUAAAUCCGGCUCUUUUUAAGGCUGAGACACGACGUCGAGCACCUACGGGUGUGAAGUCAUUGAUGCCAUGCUUCCAGGAAAAGCCUCUAAGCUUCAGAUUGUAAGGAAUCGUACCCCAAACCGACACAGGUGGUCGGGUAGAGAAUACCAAGGCGCUUGAGAGAACUCGGGUGAAGGAACUAGGCAAAAUGGUACCGUAACUUCGGGAGAAGGUACGCUCUUGAUGGUGAAGUCCCUCGCGGAUGGAGCUGACGAGAGUCGCAGAUACCAGGUGGCUGCAACUGUUUAUUAAAAACACAGCACUGUGCAAAAUCGUAAGAUGACGUAUACGGUGUGACGCCUGCCCGGUGCCGGAAGGUUAAUUGAUGGGGUUAGACUUCGGUCGAAGCUCUUGAUCGAAGCCCCGGUAAACGGCGGCCGUAACUAUAACGGUCCUAAGGUAGCGAAAUUCCUUGUCGGGUAAGUUCCGACCUGCACGAAUGGCGUAAUGAUGGCCACGCUGUCUCCACCCGAGACUCAGUGAAAUUGAAAUCGCUGUGAAGAUGCAGUGUACCCGCGGCUAGACGGAAAGACCCCGUGAACCUUUACUACAGCUUGGCACUGAACAUUGACCCUACAUGUGUAGGAUAGGUGGGAGGCUUUGAAGCAGGUACGCCAGUAUCUGUGGAGCCGUCCUUGAAAUACCACCCUUGUAGUGUUGAUGUUCUAACGUCGACCCCUAAUCGGGGUUGCGGACAGUGCCUGGUGGGUAGUUUGACUGGGGCGGUCUCCUCCCAAAGAGUAACGGAGGAGCACGAAGGUGGGCUAAUCACGGUUGGACAUCGUGAGGUUAGUGCAAUGGCAUAAGCCCGCUUGACUGCGAGAAUGACAAUUCGAGCAGGUGCGAAAGCAGGUCAUAGUGAUCCGGUGGUUCUGAAUGGAAGGGCCAUCGCUCAACGGAUAAAAGGUACUCCGGGGAUAACAGGCUGAUACCGCCCAAGAGUUCAUAUCGACGGCGGUGUUUGGCACCUCGAUGUCGGCUCAUCACAUCCUGGGGCUGAAGUCGGUCCCAAGGGUAUGGCUGUUCGCCAUUUAAAGUGGUACGCGAGCUGGGUUUAGAACGUCGUGAGACAGUUCGGUCCCUAUCUGCCGUGGGCGUUGGAAGAUUGAAGGGGGCUGCUCCUAGUACGAGAGGACCGGAGUGGACGAACCUCUGGUGUUCGGGUUGUGUCGCCAGACGCAUUGCCCGGUAGCUAAGUUCGGAAUCGAUAACCGCUGAAAGCAUCUAAGCGGGAAGCGAGCCCUGAGAUGAGUCUUCCCUGAUACUUUAAGUAUCCUAAAGGGUUGUCGGAGACUACGACGUUGAUAGGUCAGGUGUGUAAGUGCUGUGAGGCAUUGAGCUAACUGAUACUAAUUGCCCGUGAGGCUUAACCAUACAACACCCAAGGGGUUU
This 2915-nucleotide ribosomal RNA is filed under the name Vibrio parahaemolyticus. RNAcentral's name for it is "23S ribosomal RNA". It matches the Rfam family "Bacterial large subunit ribosomal RNA". The record is from RNAcentral. Lineage: Bacteria; Pseudomonadati; Pseudomonadota; Gammaproteobacteria; Vibrionales; Vibrionaceae.